GUACCAUCAGUUUGAGGCUAAUCAUUCAGAAUUCAAAGAAAAAGUGACACAGCGAGCAUAGACAUGAGGACUUUAAAGCAGGGGGCACAGCAAAUAUUCAAAACAGAGAACUGAGGAGAGGUAAACAUCUUACAGGCUUUGAUUUCUAAAAGCCUAGUCUCUCCAUAGCCCACAGAAGCCAGAGCCUUGAAGCCCUUCCCAACCAUGUCAUGACAGGUCCUAUUGUGACCUCCUGAGGAGCGACUGUGAGGAGGUCCAGCCAACAGAUGUUAAGCUGUAGCCAGGCCUGGAUUUCUUUGAGUGCUUUGAGAGGAGGUGUGGAGUGGAGCCCUCUGCGACUUGGUUUUAUCUAGUGAGCUGUGUGUGGUUGUAUCGGAUUUUACUGUAC
RNAcentral lists this long non-coding RNA (388 nucleotides) under Rattus norvegicus (Norway rat). RNAcentral's name for it is "long non-coding RNA NONRATT000222". The record is from RNAcentral. Lineage: Eukaryota; Metazoa; Chordata; Mammalia; Rodentia; Muridae.